This is a long non-coding RNA of Bos taurus (domestic cattle), 529 nucleotides long. The record is from Ensembl. NCBI's taxonomy places the organism in Eukaryota, Metazoa, Chordata, Mammalia, Artiodactyla, Bovidae.
CACACACACACACACACACACACACACUUUUGCAGCUUCCUCUGACAGCUGCCCUGGCCUUCUGAAAUAGCCCUAUGGAAUAUUCCUCGCUUCCGUCUCCCUCUAAGCUGUGCUGAAAAGCUGUUUUUUUGGACACUGGCAAGAGUCAUUGCUGCCCACCCCAUCCCCAACCUCUGCCAACAUAAGUCCCCGUGUGGGUCCUGGGCAAAGACGGCUCAAGACAGUGUUAAAAGAUGAGCUUGACUCAGCUAAUAUUGGCAUCUCAUCGAGAAAGAGCUGUGGGUUUGCUGAGCCUUUCUCCAAACCAGUGCAGGGCUGUCCUGAUGGCUCAGUGGUAAAGAAUCUGCCUGCCAAUGUAGGAGACACAAGUUCAAUCCCUGAUCUGGGAAGAUCCCGUAUGCCUUGGAGCAACUAAGCCAGCAAGCCCAAACUACCAAGCCCACAUGUUGCAGCUACUAUAGCCCAGGCUCUGCAACUAGAGAAGCUACCGCAACGAGAAGCCGGAGCACCGCAACUAGAGAGUAGCUCC